Molecule: transfer RNA, 76 nt
Filed under: Pseudothermotoga hypogea
Lineage: Bacteria; Thermotogati; Thermotogota; Thermotogae; Thermotogales; Thermotogaceae
Also listed under: 2 other names
Description: tRNA-Thr
Rfam family: tRNA
About the family: Transfer RNA (tRNA) molecules are approximately 80 nucleotides in length. Their secondary structure includes four short double-helical elements and three loops (D, anti-codon, and T loops). Further hydrogen bonds mediate the characteristic L-shaped molecular structure. tRNAs have two regions of fundamental functional importance: the anti-codon, which is responsible for specific mRNA codon recognition, and the 3' end, to which the tRNAs corresponding amino acid is attached (by aminoacyl-tRNA synthetases). tRNAs cope with the degeneracy of the genetic code in two manners: having more than one tRNA (with a specific anti-codon) for a particular amino acid; and 'wobble' base-pairing, i.e. permitting non-standard base-pairing at the 3rd anti-codon position.
Source: RNAcentral
GCCAGCGUAGCUCAGUCGGCAGAGCGGCGCACUCGUAAUGCGCAGGUCGGGGGUUCGAAUCCCUUCGCUGGCUCCA